AUUGAACGCUGGCGGCAGGCCUAACACAUGCAAGUCGAACGAGUGGCGGACGGGUGAGUAAUGUCUGGGAACCUGCCUGAUGGAGGGGGAUAACUACUGGAAACGGUGGCUAAUACCGCAUACCAUCGGAUGUGCCCAGAUGGGAUUAGCUAGUAGGUGGGGUAAAGGCUCACCUAGGCGACGAUCCCUAGCUGGUCUGAGAGGAUGACCAGCCACACUGGAACUGAGACACGGCCCAGACUCCUACGGGAGGCAGCAGUGGGGAAUAUUGCACAAUGGGCGAAAGCCUGAUGCAGCCAUGCCGCGUGUAUGAAGAAGGCCUUCGGGUUGUAAAGUACUUUCAGCGGGGAGGCGGUAUCCGCAGAAGAAGCACCGGCUAACUACGUGCCAGCCGCCGCGGUAAUUC
This 406-nucleotide ribosomal RNA is filed under the name uncultured bacterium. Its description in RNAcentral is "partial 16S ribosomal RNA". It matches the Rfam family "Bacterial small subunit ribosomal RNA", at positions 30 to 526 of the family's 1533-position model. The record is from RNAcentral.